RNAcentral lists this ribosomal RNA (513 nucleotides) under uncultured bacterium. RNAcentral describes it as "partial 16S ribosomal RNA". It matches the Rfam family "Bacterial small subunit ribosomal RNA", at positions 28 to 523 of the family's 1533-position model. The record is from RNAcentral.
GACGAACGCUGGCGGCGUGCCUAAUACAUGCAAGUUGAGCGCUGAAGGUUGGUACUUGUACCGACUGGAUGAGCAGCGAACGGGUGAGUAACGCGUGGGGAAUCUGCCUUUGAGCGGGGGACAACAUUUGGAAACGAAUGCUAAUACCGCAUAAAAACUUUAAACACAAGUUUUAAGUUUGAAAGAUGCAAUUGCAUCACUCAAAGAUGAUCCCGCGUUGUAUUAGCUAGUUGGUGAGGUAAAGGCUCACCAAGGCGAUGAUACAUAGCCGACCGGAGAGGGUGAUCGGCCACAAUGGGACUGAGACACGGCCCAAACUCCUACGGGAGGCAGCAGUAGGGAAUCUUCGGCAAUGGACGAAAGUCUGACCGAGCAACGCCGCGUGAGUGAAGAAGGUUUUCGGAUCGUAAAACUCUGUUGGUAGAGAAGAACGUUGGUGAGAGUGGAAAGCUCAUCAAGUGACGGUAACUACCCAGAAAGGGACGGCUAACUACGUGCCAGCAGCCGCAGUAA